This is a long non-coding RNA of Athalia rosae (coleseed sawfly), 3349 nucleotides long. RefSeq lists it as uncharacterized. NCBI's taxonomy places the organism in Eukaryota, Metazoa, Arthropoda, Insecta, Hymenoptera, Athaliidae. The transcript is spliced from 2 exons. The record is from RefSeq and is a predicted model, not a curated record.
ACUUCGUCCGAGGAUAUUUGUCGGAGGUGUGUAAUUUGGCGAGGAUCAAAACGCAGGUAACUUAGGUUCGGUAAAUAACGUAUGCCAACUUUUCGAUCAAACUCGCUUGGGUUUCGACCCAACUUGUAAUGUUCGACAUUUAUUGAGGUCAUUAAUCAUCGCUCGAUUUGCUCACCCUAUUCGCCCUUCAACGUAGGAAUAACACCGUUCAAGAAAUGGGAAAUUGUUAGCGAUGCUUGGAACUACCCGAAACGCUUGCAACUACUCCGAAGUAAUCGGCGAAAUUACACACUCGAUCGAUGCUUCCGAAAUGGUUGACAUUAUCAACGAAGAAAAAUCACGCGUCGAUAUCGCUCUUUGAAUAACGCGAUACGACGGAAGACGGGCCAUUACGACCCCCCCCAUUCAACGUUGUUAUAUUUGCUCUAUUUUAAUUCAAUCUGAGCACUUGGGAUUUCCGUGAAGCUAGCGGUUCAUUAGACAAAGUAUCGUCAGGUCGAGUCUGGGAGAUAAAUGAAAAGUGGCGAUCGGUAGAUCGUGACUAAAUCAUGUGUCUAGGCGCGGACAAAGGAUCAGGGCUACCCGUCAUGAUAUUCAUUCAUAAUUGAAUUGGGACCGAUGCGAGGUAAUGAAGAAAUUUUCCCUCCGCGCAAAACUUUUAAUUAUACAUAACUUAGCAUCGAUCAUUCCACGAUUGCCGACCCCUUGUUUAUUUGUUAAAUAAAAAAUUCACACGGGACGUCCAACAGUUGUUUGAUUAACCGCAGAAUAAUUGAUCGCACUACAGCCGAGCUCUGUGACGAUUAAAAUCGUCGACGCGACGGUGUAAAUUAGACGUACAUAAUUCCGAAAAAAAGAUGCGAAAUAAAUAAAUAAAUUAAUAAAGAUCCGGGGCAGGGAAACGUUCCGUUUUGUUAUUAAUCGACUCGAUGCGAUGAAAUAUGCAGAAGGCUUGCAUGGGAUAAUAUCUACAUUGAAACGUGAAAAAAAUUAUCCGCGCUCAGAAAUUAUAUGGAACAUAAAUAUGUGGAGUACACAAAACGCCCGGUACAUAUCGAUCAGUCCGACGACUGUCCGUCAUAGUUUCGUAUUCGUGAAAAAGUAAUGACGCCUGUGUUGACUCGACACUUUUAAGUUAUGUAUAUUCAAAGCAUAGCAGAACCGUGCGCCAGUCCGUCGGCAACUAGACGUGUGGGUGCGUCGCGACGUCGACGUCGUCCUUCGACUCAUACGGAAUUAUAUCGAAGUCCGAUUCCGGAAGGGAGUACCGCAAGGAUUCAAAAUGGACGAUCCAUCGCGCGAUAAUCCGCCUCGCCGGCUGCCAAUGCUAGAAAAUCGGCAGCUUCUCUAUAAUCUGGAUAAAAUCGCCAAUAAUAAGGAGGCCGUCGUUAUUGUUCGAAAACCACCCGAUCAUGGAUUCUAAUUCGGAGCAAUUCGAGUUUCGCCAUCAUUUGCGCAGCGACUAGACAGAUUUUUUUUUUCAUUCAACCCAACUCGUCGAUUCAAUUAUUUUCCCAAAAGUUUGGGGUAAUCAAAUAAGAAAUUUUCGAUAAUUGUUUCUCGAUUUUUUGUGAACUUCAUAAUUCCAUAGACAAAGCAGCGAGGUUAUCGCGGGCGAAAGAUCUACGUGCGAUUGAAAAAGUCAGCGAACGAAAAGCGGUGAAAAAAAGAAAAAAAAAAACAAUUUUCUCACUCGCUUGACAACCGUCAUAACGUGUCUACGACUAACUGUGCAGCUGGUGCACUGCAAGUGGCAAUUGGAAUUUCUGUGGACUAUUUUUUGUUUGACUAACGCCGUAAUAAAAGCGAUGUGUAAAUAGAAGUUAGUUCGAAUCGAUAUUACAUGUGCUAUCUACAUUUCUAUGGAACCUGCACGGUGAAAGUAACAAGUAGAAAUUGAUGAUUGUUAUAUCUACGUUUCAUUGAAUUUUCAGAGAAGUAUUUACGCCCGUAGUAACCGAGGGAUAGAGGCAAAGGAAAUUGAGAACAACGCUUCGUUAACGACUGUGAGAUUUACGGUGAGAUAACAUUCGUUGCAACAAUAGAAGCGAACAAUAUCCAUCAGUUUGUUACUUAGAGAUAAUAUACGUGUAUCUAUCCAAAUAGCUGUUAACACUUGUCGGGGAAUUGUCUAUGGGAGUAAACGUGUAAAUUCGAUGUUCUCACCCUCGAAACGUACGUGGAAUCAUAUUUGGCGACGAUAUGAUCGCGCGAAAAAAUGUCAUCCAAGAAAUUCCAGCGGGACGAAAAAAAAAUGUCUAUUCAAACGUCAUCAGAGGUGCCGAAACAUCACGGGAACAUAAUUACCGUGAUUGAAUCUAUUUUCAUUUCAUCCAGUUGAAAUUAAUGUUCAGGUUAAACCAACUGUCGAGUUUUACACCACGAUCCACAGCUGCUACUUCCGUCCACAUCCAAUUAUUAUACAACAAUAUGUAGGGGAAUUUAUCCUGCCGGAAAUGUGAUUUAUACAUGGACACGAAGCAAAACUCAGAUUUUUUAAUUUUUUUCUUCUCAAAUCUUCGUUUUUCAUUCGUGAAAAUUCAUACGAAUUCGUUAUUAUUAUGAAAUCGUAUGAAAAUUCUGCUUUCCCGCGAGAGGCUGUGUGUGUUAAUUUUUUUUUGUUUCUCUUCAUAGUCGCGGUGCGUAAAUGAAUAAUGACGCGAAACCGAUCGAGCGAUAUCAACUGAUAGUUUUCGAUCUUUUUUUCUCUAUUCUCUCAUAGACACGUACGCGGGUAUGUGAUAGACAUGAUUCUGCACGUGUGGAGUGUUCGGUUUCGAUAUGAAAUACACGCGAUGUUAUAAUUGAUUGGCGUGAGCGUGCGGUAUGAUAACAGUUAGAUAUGAUAGUAAAAAUAAUUGAAAAAGUUUUAAAAGUGUGUAACGUGUUUUAACUAUAAUUAAAAAAUUAAUGGUAAUUGACUUUAUAUUUCACACGUAUAUUCACGCGCAUCUCGUAUUCAUGGGGAAUUUGACUUCUACUGUAUUAAAAAAUAGCAAUCAAUUAAUUACUGUAUUGAAGAAUACCAAUCAAUAUUGAGUAAAGAAAAUUAAUGUAAAAGUUUUCUCUAUAUAUCGUCAAUAUCAGUGUGGAGAAUGGAGUUGUUAAAUAUAUGUUGAUGUGUCCUAGGUAUAUGCCAAAACUCAUUUUAUUCAGCUGCAGUUAUAUAUAUUAGCGCAAUGUAUAAAAUAUUGUAAAAAAUAUGUGCAGGAAAAUUUUUUCAAUGUAAGUCAAAAAUCACGUAAUUACUCGAUGUAGAUUGAAUUGUACUUAUGACGUUGUUGAUGACAGUGUGAAUUCCUCUCUUUCUUCGUUGUUUGAAGAAGAUAAAUAAAUGUAUUCAAGUGUA